This 255-nucleotide long non-coding RNA is filed under the name Carica papaya (papaya). RNAcentral describes it as "long non-coding RNA (CPAP_LNC010982)". The record is from RNAcentral. Lineage: Eukaryota; Viridiplantae; Streptophyta; Magnoliopsida; Brassicales; Caricaceae.
AUUAUUUAUGAUUUAAGAAUCAUCAAGUAUACCUUUCCAUUAUUCCCCAUUAGGAUCUCAAAAAGCUUCACGGCUUUAGUAAGGGAUCUCUAUUAUUUUCUUAUACAUUCUAAACAAAUUUGUAGAUAAAUUAAUAAUGAAUGUUGAUUUAUUCAGAUGCAUGAAAAGUGAAAAGUGUUUGAAAUUGGAUGUUUUUCGCAUGACUAUGUGAUUUAGUUAUUUAAAUUCAUGUUAUAAUCUUUGAAAUGAAACUAU